RNAcentral lists this ribosomal RNA (804 nucleotides) under uncultured bacterium. RNAcentral describes it as "bacterial SSU rRNA". It matches the Rfam family "Bacterial small subunit ribosomal RNA", at positions 8 to 796 of the family's 1533-position model. The record is from RNAcentral.
AGAGUUUGAUCAUGGCUCAGGAGAAGCUGGCGGCGUGCCUAAUACAUGCAAGUCGAGCGGACUUGACAGAGCUUGCUCUGUUCAAGUUAGCGGCGGACGGGUGAGUAACACGUGGGCAACCUGCCCUGCAGAUUGGGAUAACUCCGGGAAACCGGGGCUAAUACCGAAUAACAUUGGAAACCUCAUGGUUUCCUUUUAAAAGGCGGCUUCGGCUGUCACUGCAGGAUGGGCCCGCGGCGCAUUAGCUAGUUGGUGAGGUAACGGCUCACCAAGGCGACGAUGCGUAGCCGACCUGAGAGGGUGAUCGGCCACACUGGGACUGAGACACGGCCCAGACUCCUACGGGAGGCAGCAGUAGGGAAUCUUCCGCAAUGGACGAAAGUCUGACGGAGCAACGCCGCGUGAGUGAAGAAGGUUUUCGGAUCGUAAAACUCUGUUGUCAGGGAAGAACAAGUACGGUAGUAACUGCCCGUACCUUGACGGUACCUGGCCAGAAAGCCACGGCUAACUACGUGCCAGCAGCCGCGGUAAUACGUAGGUGGCAAGCGUUGUCCGGAAUUAUUGGGCGUAAAGCGCGCGCAGGCGGCCCUUUAAGUCUGAUGUGAAAGCCCCCGGCUCAACCGGGGAGGGUCAUUGGAAACUGGAAGGCUUGAGUGCAGAAGAGAAGAGCGGAAUUCCACGUGUAGCGGUGAAAUGCGUAGAGAUGUGGAGGAACACCAGUGGCGAAGGCGGCUCUUUGGUCUGUAACUGACGCUGAGGCGCGAAAGCGUGGGGAGCGAACGGGAUUAGAUACCCCCGUAGUCC